UACGUAGGAUCCGAGCGUUAUCCGGAUUUAUUGGGUUUAAAGGGUGCGCAGGCGGGAGAUUAAGUCGGCGGUGAAAUUUUGCAGCUCAACUGUAAAAGUGCCUUCGAAACUGGUUUCCUUGAGUGUAGAUGAAGUAGGCGGAAUUUGUGGUGUAGCGGUGAAAUGCAUAGAUAUUACACAGAACACCGAUUGCGAAGGCAGCUUACUAAUCCAUCAUUGACGCUGAGGCACGAAAGCGUGGGGAUCAAACAGGAUUAGAUACCCCGGUAGU
Molecule: ribosomal RNA, 271 nt
Filed under: uncultured prokaryote
Description: partial 16S ribosomal RNA
Rfam family: Bacterial small subunit ribosomal RNA
Source: RNAcentral